CGUUAGCUCAGUUGGUAGAGCAGUUGACUUUUAAUCAAUUGGUCGCAGGUUCGAAUCCUGCACGACCCACCA
This 72-nucleotide transfer RNA is filed under the name Citrobacter freundii. Its description in RNAcentral is "partial tRNA-Lys". It matches the Rfam family "tRNA". Rfam says of the family: Transfer RNA (tRNA) molecules are approximately 80 nucleotides in length. Their secondary structure includes four short double-helical elements and three loops (D, anti-codon, and T loops). RNAcentral also lists the same sequence under 51 other names. The record is from RNAcentral. Lineage: Bacteria; Pseudomonadati; Pseudomonadota; Gammaproteobacteria; Enterobacterales; Enterobacteriaceae.